GUUCUCGUAUCCGCUAUAGUCCACUCUUGUUGAAAUUGCAGUUUUCUGUUUUAAGUCUCACGUUGCAACUUACAUAAAGUCAUGUUGUUUGUCAUUAUAAAUAACGAAAAAUCUCAAGAACGGGUUGCUGAUCAAUGUAACCCCAGACAUCAAAUGGAUGGCCCCCCUGACCGGUCACUACGAUACGAAAAGCAUGAUUUAAACAAUCACGAAAUCCAAACAAACAAGUAUAAUCCGAAUCAUGUAAUAAAAAAAUGAAAUUGUUUUUUUGAAUGAUAAAUAAACAAUCGUUUAUAUUGAGUAAUA
Metopolophium dirhodum (rose-grain aphid) is the source of this 306-nucleotide long non-coding RNA. RefSeq lists it as uncharacterized. The transcript is spliced from 2 exons. The record is from RefSeq and is a predicted model, not a curated record. NCBI's taxonomy places the organism in Eukaryota, Metazoa, Arthropoda, Insecta, Hemiptera, Aphididae.